This 576-nucleotide ribosomal RNA is filed under the name uncultured bacterium. RNAcentral describes it as "bacterial SSU rRNA". It matches the Rfam family "Bacterial small subunit ribosomal RNA", at positions 345 to 912 of the family's 1533-position model. The record is from RNAcentral.
GAGGCAGCAGUGGGGAAUAUUGGACAAUGGGGGCAACCCUGAUCCAGCCAUGCCGCGUGUGUGAAGAAGGCCUUCGGGUUGUAAAGCACUUUCAGUAGGGAAGAAAAGCCUAAGGUUAAUAACCUUGGGUCUUGACGGUACCUACACAAGAAGCACCGGCUAAUUCCGUGCCAGCAGCCGCGGUAAUACGGAAGGUGCAAGCGUUAAUCGGAAUCACUGGGCGUAAAGAGCGCGUAGGCGGUUAGAUAAGUUGGGUGUGAAAGCCCUGGGCUCAACCUGGGAACUGCAUUCAAUACUGUCUGACUAGAGUGUAAUAGAGGGAGGCGGAAUUCCGCAUGUAGCGGUGAAAUGCGUAGAGAUGCGGAGGAACACCAAUGGCGAAGGCAGCCUCCUGGAUUAACACUGACGCUGAGGCGCGAAAGCGUGGGGAGCAAACAGGAUUAGAUACCCUGGUAGUCCACGCCGUAAACGAUGUCAACUAGCCGUCGGGAGCAAUUUGGCUCCUGGUGGCGCAGCUAACGCGAUAAGUUGACCGCCUGGGGAGUACGGUCGCAAGAUUAAAACUCAAAGGAAUUG